AAGAUGUGGAAGACCUUAAACAUGAAGCUGAGACAGCCCAAGCUGAAGUAGCAGUACGUCAGAGGGCAGCUGCCUGUGCUGUGCCUUAGCCUCUCGCCACGCAGGACUCCAGAGCCAGCAUUCUGCCAGCAGCAGGUAACUCCAGGGAAGCUCCCUCCUGUAAAUACCACUUGCCCCUGCAGCAGACUCCAGCCACGAGGAGAGCUCUGGUGUGAAAGUUGUUUUAUCUGUCUGCAAUGAAGUCUUCACUG
Molecule: long non-coding RNA, 251 nt
Organism: Gymnogyps californianus (California condor)
Lineage: Eukaryota; Metazoa; Chordata; Aves; Accipitriformes; Cathartidae
Exons: 3
Source: RefSeq, a predicted model, not a curated record